Long non-coding RNA from Haplochromis burtoni (Burton's mouthbrooder), 2032 nucleotides. RefSeq lists it as uncharacterized. The transcript is spliced from 2 exons. NCBI's taxonomy places the organism in Eukaryota, Metazoa, Chordata, Actinopteri, Cichliformes, Cichlidae. The record is from RefSeq and is a predicted model, not a curated record.
CUUUUGAGACUGACAGAUAUGGCGCGAUAUGGCAGCGAGCCAUAUCAGUUUCUGUGAUAUUCUUAUUAAGAUAAAUAUUUUAUUAAUGUGGCAAGAUCACUAUGUAUAUUUCACUGAAUUAGAUAUUGUAAGGGUGAGAAAGUCUUUUAAGCAGUGUGGGUCUGGAUGCCCCAGUGGGUCAUGAAGGUACUACAGGUGGGCCACAGUAAAAACAGAAAUUCAGGUUGAAAUUAGUCACAGGUGUGUUAAAUUACACAUUCAUCUGAAUGUAUUUAUUUAUAUAAAAAGUGAAUUAAAAAUAAAAGGUGGUGAUAUCACUGACUACUCUGACCUAUAUUCACUGCUCUGUAAGAACAGAUCUUUAUUGUCACUGUUACAAAAACAAUGAAACACAUUGAAGUUUGUGUGUCAGUGGCAGGUGGGUCACACAUUGACUUUAACACUUUGCGUUUGAUUGAUUAGAUUAAAGAUUUAGGUUUGGGUGGAGUGUGUGGGAUUUUCUGUUUGUUGAGUGGGAGGAACACCACUCUUGUUUUUUGGGAAUUGGUGACUUAAAAUAUUUUCAGUUUUAGUAUUUGGACUUUAAAUCAAAUAAAGAAUAAUGCAGCAAAUGUUUACACAGUUACUUACAGAUUAUUGAGUUGGUGCAGCUGUCUGCUCAGCUUUGCACUUUUUGAUGGACUCAAAGAGAUCUGAAGUUUUCUUCUGCCCUUUACAACAAAUCUCACACGUAGGAAAUCAAAGCUCUUUGUUGCUUUUAAGUAAUUAGAAUGGAAACACUGUUCCUGUUUUAUUUCCAGUCACUAAUUCCAAAGUGUUUACUGUUUAUCUGACAACAGCUUCUUUUUUCUGUUCUCCCACGUCAGCACAGAGAAAUGAAGUGAAUAUUCACAGGUACACACAAUAACAAGAAUCUUUGAAAUCACUUCACAGAGAGAUGAUGACAAAACAACAGAAACAUUUUAAAAAUAGCUCCAUGUUGAGGUAGAGCUUGUUUUACAGAUGAUGAUGUACGUAAACUGUACACACUAGCAGGAAAUGAAUGAGUCCAUCUGUACCAAUAAUACUCACUGAACCAGUUUGACCAGGAUACUGAUGAACACACACACACAUACAUGCAAACACACACAUACUCAGUGCUGCUGAUGAUCGGACAAUUGUAAUCAGUAAAUUAUUGAUUAUUAGGUCAGUCUGAGGUGACGACUUCAUGAAGAGUUUUCACGUCUUUCUGAGACUCACUUCUCCACAAACUCAAAGCUGACUUUAAAGAUCCUCCAGAUGUUUUCAGAGUAAACACUAUCAGAUCCAUGUGUUAUUGUUUAAAUUUUUUCAGGUAAUGUAGGCAAGAAUAGAUCUUUGCUGUAACUUGUUUUGAGCAGCCACAUAUCUCACGUAGUCAGCAUUCAGUUUACUGAGAAAGCACAAACCACUACUUGUUUCUGUUCUCACAGACGUUCACAGACUUGGCAGUUUAGUCUGUAGACACUGACAGCUGGAGUGGGCAGUGUAAAACUGAUUCAUUUUGAUUUUAAAUUAAUUGUAACUUUUUUCUGAUUUAAAUCUGUUUUUCAACCCUGAAGAUGUUUCCUGACAUGAUGGUGGUUAUGAGCCGAUGACGUUAUGCUGAGAAAAACUACCAGAUGGAGACAAGAACAGAAUAAAAUCUGUCGCUUAGAGAUGGGGUGAGGAGUUGAAUCAUCCAGGAGAGGCUCAGAAUAGAGAUGCUGCUCCUCCACAUCGAAAGGAGCCAGAUGAGGUGGUUUGGGCAUCUGACUAGGAUUCGUCUUGGACGCCUCCUGGGUGAGAUGUUCUUUGGAUAUCUCACUAGAAUGAGACCAUGCAGCAGACCCAGGACACGCUGGAGAGAUUAUACCUUUUGUCAGUAGGAACAGGAAGGACAGGCUUCUCUGCUUAGGCUGCUGCCCCCAUAUAAACAGAAGAAAAUGGAUGGAUUCAUUCAUGUAAAUCCUAUUUUUUCCAUCCUGAUGAUCAGAAGAGUGUUGGAGGGCUUCAGAGAUCCUUCAGAACAACA